CUAGGGGGUGGUGGUGGGGGACGUCUUGGUGGUGGUGGACGCAGAGUUGGCGGCGGGGGACGUCUUGGCGGUGGUGGUGGUGGACGUCUAGGGGGUGGUGGGGGGGGACGUCUUGGUGGCGGAGGACGCAGCCUUGGCGGCGGGGGACGCCUUGGAGGUGGGGGACGCGGUCUUUGAGCAUCCCCUACCAAAAAGGCAAGAUUCAAACUAAAGAAAAUGAGGAGUAGGAGGAAGGGUUUUAACAUUUUGAAAUGUGUAAUUUAAACAGAUUGUGGUUUGGGGAUUUAUAGGCAGCCGGAUACAUGCAUGCAUGCACAGGAGCUCUCUCUCUGGUAAAUAUGAACGUCUAUCUCUACCGAGUUGAAUUAGCUAGGUCCCCACCACAAAUAUAGAGUAACAUUUUUUUAAUAACACUAUACUCCUACUACUAUAUCAGUGUACGAUACAAAUAACACCAUACUCCUAUUACCAUAUGCCAACUACUCAGUAAGUAAUCUUACUUUCGCAGUCACUUUCACAUUUUAUUGGUUUGAAAUAUGAAUAAUGGCCUGUCGUCAUACUCUGUUGCAGAGCCACGUACGCC
This 583-nucleotide long non-coding RNA is filed under the name Panax ginseng (ginseng). RNAcentral's name for it is "long non-coding RNA (PGIN_LNC013797)". Lineage: Eukaryota; Viridiplantae; Streptophyta; Magnoliopsida; Apiales; Araliaceae. The record is from RNAcentral.